RNAcentral lists this ribosomal RNA (497 nucleotides) under uncultured bacterium. Its description in RNAcentral is "partial 16S ribosomal RNA". It matches the Rfam family "Bacterial small subunit ribosomal RNA", at positions 28 to 507 of the family's 1533-position model. The record is from RNAcentral.
GAUGAACGCUGGCGGCGUGCCUAAUACAUGCAAGUCGAGCGAACAGAUGAGGAGCUUGCUCCUCUGACGUUAGCGGCGGACGGGUGAGUAACACGUGGAUAACCUACCUAUAAGACUGGGAUAACUUCGGGAAACCGGAGCUAAUACCGGAUAAUAUAUUGAACCGCAUGGUUCAAUAGUGAAAGACGGUUUUGCUGUCACUUAUAGAUGGAUCCGCGCCGCAUUAGCUAGUUGGUAAGGUAACGGCUUACCAAGGCAACGAAGCGUAGCCGACCUGAGAGGGUGAUCGGCCACACUGGAACUGAGACACGGUCCAGACUCCUACGGGAGGCAGCAGUAGGGAAUCUUCCGCAAUGGGCGAAAGCCUGACGGAGCAACGCCGCGUGAGUGAUGAAGGUCUUCGGAUCGUAAAACUCUAUUAUUAGGGAAGAACAAAUGUGUAAGUAACUAUGCACGUCUUGACGGUACCUAAUCAGAAAGCCACGGCUAACUACGUG